CAAAGAAUAGUUUAAGAAGAGCGCUAGCUUUGGGGGCUAGUGGUGGGGGUUUGAUUCCCUCUUCUUUGA
This 69-nucleotide transfer RNA is filed under the name Poropanchax normani. RNAcentral describes it as "tRNA-Pro". It matches the Rfam family "tRNA". Rfam says of the family: Transfer RNA (tRNA) molecules are approximately 80 nucleotides in length. Their secondary structure includes four short double-helical elements and three loops (D, anti-codon, and T loops). The record is from RNAcentral. Lineage: Eukaryota; Metazoa; Chordata; Actinopteri; Cyprinodontiformes; Procatopodidae.